CUGCCUGGUGAUUAUAGGGUAGGGAAGAAGGGAGAGGGGAGAAGAUGCUCUCUCUGGCUCUUGGGAUUUAGAACUCUUUAAACAUGGACCUGAACAUUUAGAGGGAAGGUUGAGGAAACUCUUUAAACAUGGGUCUGAGCAUUUAGAGUGAAUAUUGAAGAAAAACAUGGGCCUGAACAUUUAGAGGGAAGGUUGUAAACAUGGGCCUGAGCAUUUAGAGGGAAGAUUGAGGGAACCCUUUAAACAUGGGCCUGAGCAUUUAGAGGGAAGGUUGAGGAAACCCUUUAAACAUGGGCCUGAGCAUUUAGAGGGAAGGUUGAGGAAACUCUUUAAACAUGGGCCUGAGCAUUUAGAGGGAAGGUUGAGGGAACCCUCUAAACAUGGGCCUGAACAUUUAGAGGGAAUAUUGAAGAAAAACAUGGGCCUGAACAUUUAGAGGGAAGGUUGAGGAAACUCUUUAAACAUGGGCCUGAGCAUUUAGAGGGAAGGUUGAGGGAACCCUCUAAACAUGGGCCUGCGCAUUUAGAGGGAAUAUUGAAGAAAAACAUGGGCCUGAACAUUUAGAGGGAAUAUGGAAGAAAAACAUGGGCCUGAGCAUUUAGAGGGAAUAUGGAAGAAAAACAUGGGCCUGAGCAUUUAGAGGGAAUAUUGAAGAAACAAACAUGGGCCUGAGCAUUUAGAGGGAAGGUUGAGGAAACUCUUCAAACAUGGGCCUGAGCAUUUAGAGGGAAGGUUGAGGGAACCCUCUAAACAUGGGCCUGAGCAUUUAGAGGGAAUAUUGAAGAAAAACAUGGGCCUGAACAUUUAGAGGGAAUAUGGAAGAAAAACAUGGGCCUGAGCAUUUAGAGGGAAUAUUGAAGAAACAAACAUGGGCCUGAGCAUUUAGAGGGAAGGUUGAGGAAACUCUUCAAACAUGGGCCUGAACAUUUAGAGGGAAUAUUGAAGAAACAAACAUGGGCCUGAGCAUUUAGAGGAAAGCUUGAGGAAACUCUUCAAACAUGGGCCUGAGCAUUUAGAGGGAAUAUUGAAGAAACAAACAUGGGCCUGAGCAUUUAGAGGGAGGGUUGAGGAAACUCUUCAAACAUGGGCCUGAGCAUUUAGAGGGAAGCUUGAGGAAACCCUUUAAACAUGGGCCUGAGCAUUUAGAGGAAAGCUUGAGGAAACCCUUUAAACAUGGGCCUGAACAUUUAGAAGGAAUAUUGAAAAAAAAAAACAUGGGCCUGAACAUUUAGAGGGAAUAUUGAAGAAAAACAUGGGCCUGAGCAUUUAGAGGAUAGGUUGAGGAAAUGAAUACUUGCCUACCCACUAUGUGCUUUGUUGUUUCUUAUUACUUCAAUGU
Molecule: long non-coding RNA, 1339 nt
Organism: Antechinus flavipes (yellow-footed antechinus)
Lineage: Eukaryota; Metazoa; Chordata; Mammalia; Dasyuromorphia; Dasyuridae
Exons: 3
Source: RefSeq, a predicted model, not a curated record